Molecule: ribosomal RNA, 539 nt
Filed under: bacterium A3T_VP5_C4
Lineage: Bacteria
Description: bacterial SSU rRNA
Rfam family: Bacterial small subunit ribosomal RNA
Source: RNAcentral
UAAAACGGGAGGCAGCAGUAGGGAAUCUUCCGCAAUGGACGAAAGUCUGACGGAGCAACGCCGCGUGAACCAUGAAGGCCUUCGGGUCGUAAAGUUCUGUUGUUAGGGAAAAACAAGUACCAGAGUAACUGCUGGUACCUUGACGGUACCUAACCAGAAAGCCACGGCUAACUACGUGCCAGCAGCCGCGGUAAUACGUAGGUGGCAAGCGUUGUCCGGAAUUAUUGGGCGUAAAGCGCGCGCAGGUGGUUUCUUAAGUCUGAUGUGAAAGCCCACGGCUCAACCGUGGAGGGUCAUUGGAAACUGGGGAACUUGAGUGCAAAAGAGGAAAGUGGAAUUCCAAGUGUAGCGGUGAAAUGCCUAGAGAUUUGGAGGAACACCAGUGGCGAAGGCGACUUUCUGGUCUGUAACUGACACUGAGGCGCGAAAGCGUGGGGAGCGAACAGGAUUAAAUACCCUGGUAGUCCACGCCGUAAACGAUGAGUGCUAAGUGUUAGAGGGUUUCCCCCCUUUAAUGGCUGCACAAACGCAUUAAGCAC